UUUCCGUAGGUGAACCUGCGGAAGGAUCAUUACCGAGUGUCGGGCCCUCCUGGGUCCACCCUCCCACCCGUGUCUCCCGGCCCUUGUUGCUUCGGCGGGCCCGCCCACUGGGGCGGCCAGGGGGGCCUCGCGCCCCGAGGUUCGCGCCCGCCGGAGACGACCACGCGAACACUGUGUGACGGUUGCCGUCUGAGUGGAUUUUUCCAAUCGUUAAAACUUUCAACAACGGAUCUCUUGGUUCCG
This 243-nucleotide unclassified non-coding RNA is filed under the name plant metagenome. RNAcentral's name for it is "partial contains small subunit ribosomal RNA, internal transcribed spacer 1, and 5.8S ribosomal RNA". The record is from RNAcentral.